AAUUGCAGGUUAUAAAGUCAGAAUUGCAUGAUAUAAAGUCGCAAUUGCAUGUUAUAAAGUCAGAAUUGCGAGAUAUAAAGUCAGAAUUGAUUGAUAUAAAGUCGCAAAUGCAGAUAUAAAGUCAGAAUUGCGUGUUGUAAAGUCAGAAUUGUGAGAUAUAAACUAUUCUGAGGGGGGAAAAGUUAGUCUUUUUUGCCCCUUAGAAUUGGCCUGAUAACUCGCAAUUGCGAGUUUAUAUCUCACAAUUCUGAGAAAAGAUGUCAGAAUUUCGAGAUAUAAACUCGCAAUUAUGUGUUAUAAAGUCAGAAUUGUGAGAUGUAAACUCGCAAUUGUGAGAAAAAAAGUCAGAAUUGUGAGAUAAAAAGUCGCAA
This is a long non-coding RNA of Rhinichthys klamathensis goyatoka, 371 nucleotides long. RefSeq lists it as uncharacterized. The transcript is spliced from 2 exons. Lineage: Eukaryota; Metazoa; Chordata; Actinopteri; Cypriniformes; Leuciscidae. The record is from RefSeq and is a predicted model, not a curated record.